GACGAACGCUGGCGGCGUGCUUAACACAUGCAAGUCGAACGGAAAGGCCCUGCUUUUGUGGGGUGCUCGAGUGGCGAACGGGUGAGUAACACGUGAGUAACCUGCCCUUGACUGUGGGAUAACUUCAGGAAACUGGGGCUAAUACCGGAUAGGAGCUCCUGCUGCAUGGUGGGGGUUGGAAAGUUUCGGCGGUUGGGGAUGGACUCGCGGCUUAUCAGCUUGUUGGUGGGGUAGUGGCUUACCAAGGCUUUGACGGGUAGCCGGCCUGAGAGGGUGACCGGCCUCAUUGGGACUGAGAUACGGCCCAGACUCCUACGGGAGGCAGCAGUGGGGAAUAUUGCACAAUGGGCGGAAGCCUGAUGCAGCAACGCCGCGUGCGGGAUGACGGCCUUCGGGUUGUAAACCGCUUUCGCCUGUGACGAAGCGUGAGUGACGGUAAUGGGUAAAGAAGCACCGGCUAACUACGUG
This 468-nucleotide ribosomal RNA is filed under the name uncultured bacterium. RNAcentral's name for it is "partial 16S ribosomal RNA". It matches the Rfam family "Bacterial small subunit ribosomal RNA", at positions 28 to 507 of the family's 1533-position model. The record is from RNAcentral.